Long non-coding RNA from Dicentrarchus labrax (European seabass), 4497 nucleotides. RefSeq lists it as uncharacterized. The transcript is spliced from 2 exons. The record is from RefSeq and is a predicted model, not a curated record. Lineage: Eukaryota; Metazoa; Chordata; Actinopteri; Moronidae.
AGAGACAGACAGAGACUGAGACCGACUGUCAGUAUCUGCGUUUAUUCUUCUGUAUUUAAAUCACAGCUGGGCUCGGGACGCGCGGCAGAGACUGGAACAGUCCAGUUUUAAGAUCUGAACCAGCUUAGGAUUUGAGAGCGAACUAGUCUGGGUGGGGAACUCGACUUUGUUUUAAUCUGCCAGCCACAGCAGCUUUCCACAACUCACCAGCCACUCGUCCUGCUUGACCAGGCGAUAUUUUUGGAUGAAAUGCAACCUGGAGGUGAUGGCUGGUAGUUGUCUCUCACUGUGUGACAAAGGAAGCUUUUUGUAACUGGAAACCACAGAAUGGCCGGCGCCUCGCUUCCGCACCGAUCCCCGUCUCUCAGCCGGCUCGGAAAAACACACAAAAACUUUCACGAACUUUGUCAAAAGUCGAGUUCGAUUUCUGUGUGGAAAAAGAAGUCUUGGAAGGGCGGAUAUAGUGUUGAUCAGUUUGUGUUCUUCAUGUUUGUUUGUUUUUUAAAACCCAUCACACUAUUGAUCCCUUUGAAGCCACCCUGUGAGUUGGUUUGUGUUUUAAUAAUUUCUCAUUCAUAAUCAUUCUCAGUUGAUUCCAUGUGUGUACAGCGAGUUGAACAUGUGGCACGUGUUGCUAGAGUAUUUUCUGUUGUUUUUGCGUGUGUGCGAUUAUCAGUGACUUUUAGGUGUAGGUAGGGGAAUUCUUGUGUUUUGUGGAUUUUUUUUUUUAUAACUGAACAAAUCAAAACAUUUUUUUGUCGUGUGCGUAUGAGUGUGUGCGAUUCCCGCCUGUCUCUCUUCAUCGCCCUCUAGUGUUCAGUUAGGGUUUAUUACAGGGCCUCCAGCGUUCAGUUUACCUCAACCUCUGCUUUUUAACUGCAACCAUUAAAACAACGGAUGAGCAGCUCUGUAGGCAACCUUUUAAAUCCUUUGUCUUCCUGAACAAGGCUAGCAGGGUUCAUUCUUUGCUAGCCUUGUUUCCACUGUGGGCCAAAUCAGAGCUAGCCAGGGCUAACUCGUUAGCGUAGCUUCAGACACAGCUAGCCAUCACAAACGUGUUCAAGUCGUUACUGGUUUAGCUUUCACAACGGCCCAACAGAGCUACGUAUGGCUAACAGUAUCGGCGACAGUGUUGGGCUAAGUCUGGCACACGAACGAUAAAAACAGCAAACACAAGGGCUAACAGAUCAGACAAGAUAACCAAGCUACCAGUGCCUUCAUUUGGUUUACUUAAUUUCUCUGGUGUGGUCAGUUGGCUCUAGCUAGCUCUUAUCAUUACCCGUGGAUAUCAAACGCCUGCUCAAAUUACACGCUAACUAGGGCUAACCGACCAGAGCGGACAAGCUGACAGUGGAUUAGCUCAGUAAACUAGUUUGAUAUGGUCGGUUAACACGUUGCACCACAGUUGGUUAACAGCAUUUCUAGGAAGUGGCAGGUCAAGCUAGUUCCUGCAGUAUUAUCUCAGUCGGCUCUGGAGCGCUUUAGUACUGUUUGUCCCUAUCUAGCCCCGUCUGCUCCUGUGUCCAUAUGAGGACUGUUUCCUGUUCCAGUCGACCCAGAGACAAACAGAAGAGCUAAUUAACUUUCACUUCUAUGUGACAUAUACUUCAGCUGUGUUGGUUCAUCAUCAGUGAGGUUAUUAGAUACCUGAAGACGCGGCUAUGAAUUUGGCGUUAGAGACAAUCAGUUGUAAUUUUCAAAUAGAAAACAGAUUAAAGAAAACCCACUCAGUUAAAUCUCAGCAGGAUUUCCAGAAGGAGUUAGAUAACAGGGUGAAAGGGAGGGAUGGAUGGAUGGAUGGAUGGAUGGAUGGAUGGAUGGGUGGGUGGGUUGAGGGGGUGUGAGUGAACUGUAUUACCCUGCUGCACACACAAACAAACACAAGUAAAAGGGCUAAUUCUACCCCCUUGCACCAACCCAACCGGACAUUUCCACAACUGAAAAAGGAUCUCGCGACCAGAGGGGACGGGUAGUGUGUAUGUGCGUUUUCUUUUUCGUGUGAAGAUGAAUAUAGCUAAUUUCUCUUCUUGUACGUUUUUGUCUCUCUGUUUUUGUUUUGUUUUUUUAUAAAGCAACCUCAUAAUCAAAACGAAUCGAACCUCAACGGCUCAUAACGGAACUGUAAGGCAACGACGGUCAGUCAGUUUGUCAGUCAAAAAGAGAGGCGAGAAAUAUUGAACAACCACAACUGGACUGACUGGACGCUUGCUGUGAACUGGCACUAACAACUCCCAAAACUACUACUACUACUACUUCUUCUACUACUAGUACUACUACAGUGGAAUAUCGCAACACAAUCAAGAGAGAGAGCGAGAGAGUUUCAUUACGUCGCGCCCAAACCCUGACACCUCGGUCUGCAGUCCUAAUAUCAAAUCACUGAAUGACAUCGAUUUCUGAAUCUACAGUGAGAAUCUGACAGAGGUUCAGGACUCCAGAAGUGUCACGUUUUGAGUCACAGCAGCAAGAUCGUGGUUGGAGACUAAUCUUCCUCAAUUCAGAAUAAAGUUUCUCCAAUAUGGAGGGUCUUCACUGGCGAUCAACUCCCACGUCAUCCGAAGCCUUUGAUCCAACGUCAACUAAAGUCUCUCGUAUUGUUCGAACACUUCCUGGAACCCAAAAUUAAAUGUAUAGAUUUCUAUAUCGUCUAUGUAAUGAAAACUCUUGUAGUUCUUCUUAGGUUUCAUGGGUCGAAGCAGACAUUAUUUAGUUGGCUACCUUGCUAACUGUUUGUUAGCUUGGUUGCUAAGGGGACAAUAAGUCCAUGCAGCUCACUUUGUUUUUGAAUCACUAAUUCCUGACUUACCAUUUCCUAAAAACCCUGUGGCUUUAGCUUCCUCCAGAGGUCAGCGCUGUCAGAACACUUUACUGCUGGCCCAAAUUUCAGCCGCGUAAAAGUCUUGUUGCUCGUCAAACUCCACCAAAGUCGAAUCUGACGUGAAAAAUGUGUGUUGACAUGAGUUUAUUUCACAGUAAAAUGUUGCUGUUAUGUGACUGGGCCUUUUACACUGCUGUCCUCUCUUCAACGGCAAAGCUUAAUGAUGAAAACCGCGAAAUAAAACCCGCUCUAACGGCACCAUCUGCUGGUGAACGCAGGCUACUACUGAAGCUAACAACGUACAGAGUCGUAAUUACGAGAUUCAGAGUACAAAUUAUGAAAUUACAUUAUGAGGUAUUAAUUUGAACAUUUGUGAAGAAACUCUCUUUCUCUCUCUCAACUGUUUUAUGUUUGUUAGCUCUGUCUGUAUGUCCCUCUCCCUCGGGAUUAUGCGUUAAUGUACGUCUGACUGUGUGCGUGGCCAUAUGAAUACUGGACUUCCAUUCGAAUGCACAUGGACUGUUUUUAAAUGUAUUUAUUUGGAGCCCAGGUGUGUGUUUGUGUGCGAGUUAGUUUCUGCAAUGACUUGAGAAGAAGCCAUGUAUUAAAAAUAUCACAUUUAUGCUGCAGAACUGUUUUGAGGAACCGAUGGUUUGUGUUGUGGACUAAACCGGCUCGCCGUAGGGCACGGCGGGCCGGGGUGCGAAUCGGACUAGCAAUAAGACUCCCUCUGAAUCCAAAAAGCUUUAUGUAGAUCUCCUGUAUAUGAGUUGAGAACAGGCAGUCUGGGUCUCUUUGUUCUGUUGUUUUUAGUUUGGCUGAGAAAUGAUUUUUGUUGUUUGUUUUUCUCUAUGACAUAUAAAUGCGUAUAAAACUGUGAAAAUUCAUUGUGUUCAGUUAAAGGGUGAGUUUUAGGUUAGGUUUUUUUUUUUGCAUGUUAAUCUAAUUUGUUCAAUUAUGGAUGAUUUCUCCUUUCUCCAUCUCUUCUUGCGCUACACACACACACACACACACACACAUAUAUAAAUAUAAAAUAUAUAUAAUCUCGCUCUCAGGGUCUUUCACAAAUCCAUUAUUCGAAAUGCUUCAUGUUCUUAUUUCCUGAGUUGCAACUUGUUCUUUCCAAGUCCUGAUUAUUUUGUCCUUUUUUUUUUUUUUUAAUGAUUCAGAACUGUCAAUCACUACAUUUAGCACUUGACUGUGAACUCGUCAUCACCUAACCGUUAAAAGAUGUGGUUGGAUUUUGGUGUUUUAAAGCCAGAAUAUUGUUGACAUCUUUUGCUCCGUUCUCCCCUCUCACCCGGACAUUCGGUUCAAACCUUUUCUGUUUUCUGUCUUGGUUUAACCCUCGUGUAACUUUCUGUCCUGGUCGGAGGUCAAAGGGAACGUCAGAGAGGAUAUCUAAAACCUCCUCGAACACACGCGCACACACACACACACACACACACACACACAGAUGCUGGACCUCAAUCAGAAAGCAUUAACACACAAUCAUGUGGAAGAGCGUUUCUGUGGUUGUGUUUCAAUCCUUCCUUCCAUCCCCUCGUCUGUCCUCUCCUCCCCCCGGCUGUUAGUAAAACAUGACAGUGUUUCACAAAGUCAAGAGAUGUAAACCUGUUCUGUAUUCAACCCGAUAAGAAAAAGCAAUAAAGAUUAUAUUAAGGAACAGUGUGUGAAUCAAA